Molecule: ribosomal RNA, 250 nt
Filed under: uncultured bacterium
Lineage: Bacteria
Description: partial 16S ribosomal RNA
Rfam family: Bacterial small subunit ribosomal RNA
Source: RNAcentral
UACGGAGGGUGCAAGCGUUGUCCGGAUUUAUUGGGUUUAAAGGGUGCGUAGGCGGCCCCUUAAGUCAGUGGUGAAAGCCCGCGGCUCAACCGCGGAACUGCCAUUGAUACUGGGGGGCUUGAGUACAGACGAGGUAGGCGGAAUUGAAGAUGUAGCGGUGAAAUGCUUAGAUAUCUUCAAGAACACCGAUUGCGUAGGCAGCUUACUAGGCUGUAACUGACGCUGAGGCACGAAAGCGUGGGGAGCGAAC